Molecule: ribosomal RNA, 294 nt
Filed under: uncultured bacterium
Lineage: Bacteria
Description: partial 16S ribosomal RNA
Rfam family: Bacterial small subunit ribosomal RNA
Source: RNAcentral
UGCCUACGGGGGGCAGCAGUAGGGAAUCUUCCACAAUGGACGAAAGUCUGAUGGAGCAACGCCGCGUGAGUGAAGAAGGGUUUCGGCUCGUAAAGCUCUGUUGGUAGUGAAGAAAGAUAGAGGUAGUAACUGGCCUUUAUUUGACGGUAAUUACUUAGAAAGUCACGGCUAACUACGUGCCAGCAGCCGCGGUAAUACGUAGGUGGCAAGCGUUGUCCGGAUUUAUUGGGCGUAAAGCGAGUGCAGGCGGGUCAAUAAGUCUGAUGUGGGAGACUUUUGGGCAACCGGAGAAUU